AGCAGUAGCCGCGGGAAUACGUAGGUGGCAAGCGUUGUCCGGAAUUAUUGGGCGUAAAGGGCUCGCAGGCAGUUUCUUAAGUCUGAUGUGAAAGCCCCCGGCUCAACCGGGGAGGGUCAUUGGAAACUGGGAAACUUGAGUGCAGAAGAGGAGAGUGGAAUUCCACGUGUAGCGGUGAAAUGCGUAGAGAUGUGGAGGAACACCAGUGGCGAAGGCGACUCUCUGGUCUGUAACUGACGCUGAGGAGCGAAAGCGUGGGGAGCGAACAGGAUUAGAUACCCGAGUAGUCCCUGUCUCUUAUAC
Molecule: ribosomal RNA, 303 nt
Filed under: uncultured bacterium
Lineage: Bacteria
Description: partial 16S ribosomal RNA
Rfam family: Bacterial small subunit ribosomal RNA
Source: RNAcentral